AACCUAGAUUCUAAGAGCAAAUUAUUUUUAUAUAAUUCGGGAGAGGGCUGACCUAAGGUGGGUUUAUUUUGGAUCGUUGGUCAUGUAAUUCCAGCGACUGGAUAAAUUUGGGAAUUAAGAAAGAAAAAUAAAACCAUGUAAGUCCAGAUAAGGCUAAGAGAAAGAAAGGGGCAAUAAAACGCCCUGGUUCGAGCCGUUCCUGUACCUAUCGCACGCCACCAUCCAGAUCGCGCCGCCGCCUAGGGUUCGAGUCUCAGGUUGCCGCCGUCGCUGGAAUUAGUACUGAUUGCAUCUCCGCCUCGUUCGUGCCUGAGCCGCUAUUCUUCUGUUGCUGCGUCCAUUGAGGGAUUUCAAUUCUCAGGUGGUGGCAUUGAUUAAUCGCGGAUCUUGGUCGACUUCUUGUUGCUUCGUUCUUUUGUUGAAGGCAGGUACUAAGUAAACACCAUGCAUGGGGCCCGGGCGUAGCACAUCUACACUGUUGAGCACAUCACACUUAUUUAGAUAUUACGACGUAGACAUAUAUGUUUCUAUACCUAUUAGUCGUAUUGUAUUAGUCACUUAAUCCAUGUUACCUUGUGAACAAAUAUAUUUGGCGUUUCCUGAUAUGCUGGGAUUUUGUGAAUCACGUGGUUGUUUCUUUAAAGUUGAAAUGUUACUACAUAUCCUCU
Lolium perenne is the source of this 668-nucleotide non-coding RNA. The record is from RefSeq and is a predicted model, not a curated record. NCBI's taxonomy places the organism in Eukaryota, Viridiplantae, Streptophyta, Magnoliopsida, Poales, Poaceae.